CCCUGUGUUGGCCCAAUUGCAUCUGAACAGCGGCACUUUGAACAUGUGAUAGUCCAUAAGUAAAAUCUCCUUUAUCACUCCAUAAUAUGUAAGCAUAUCAGUGACUUGUCUCAUAUCUCGAGCACUUGAUCUACACAUGCUAAAUGCUUCAUAAGUUACUCCACUGUUUUGUGUCUUCCGCUUAAUAGCAUCUAUAUGAAACUGUUGCCCACUAACGAUAAAUCCU
Molecule: small RNA, 226 nt
Filed under: Arabidopsis thaliana (thale cress)
Lineage: Eukaryota; Viridiplantae; Streptophyta; Magnoliopsida; Brassicales; Brassicaceae
Description: ATSL042520
Source: RNAcentral